AUGCGAUUGAACUGCCUCUUCAUCAUCUUGAGGGUGAGGAGGAGGCCAGGAGAACCCUUUUUUUUUUUUUUCCCACUCGGCUGUCCCUGCUCAGCACCCCUGGCUCACGCUUGGCAUGGGACGCCCGCGGCCCCCUGGGCUCCCCGGAGCCACCGCGCCUCGUGCCGUUGCCCAAGCCCCUCUCUCCCUCCUCGCUCCUUCCUCCUUCCCUCGUUCCCCCUUUCGCUCUUUGCUCGUCCCCUCCCUCGGCCCUCCCUGGGGAUGCCCUGCCUGCUUUCUCUUCCCCUCCCGCGGGCUCCUUUUCUCUCUCGCUCCCUCUCUUUUGCUCAGCUUCCUCCCUCCUCCUCCUCCUCCUCCUCCGGCCGCCCCUCGCUGCGGAUCAGAAUUCGCACUGAAAAUAUAUACAAGUCUGUUCUGGAACCAAACAAGAUCUGCAAAGGAAAAAAAAACAACAAAAAACCAAACCCCUACAAAACCCUGAAGAGACCAGAAAGGGAAGUAAGACACAGCAGAACCCCAGCACAAAGACCUCGCUUCCCCCUCUCCUCUGCCACUCGCUGCCCCACAGCUCCCAGCCCUCUUCCCCCUUCGCUGCCCCCAAAAUCUCCCAAAUCCUCUCCCCCUGGUGCAAGUUUCCUCCUAGCUGCUGUGCAGGAGCACAGCUUGCCCCCGAGAUCCACCCUGGGGAAGGGAAGCAGCUCCUGGGGUCACAAACCCCGUGAGGACGGGGACUGCCGGGGCCGUGCCACCCCCUGGUCUCCUCCCCGCUCUCGUGUCACAGUGAUCAGGCGGCUGGGCGAGCCCCCUCCCCGCUGCAGGGAGAGAAAAAUUGGGGGAAAAAAGGUGCACAGGGCACAGCCCAACCCCUUUUUCUCCCCCCCCCACAGCGUGGUGCCGGGCUCCCCGUGCAGAGCUUCGUGGUGCCCCCUGGUGCUGCGCUCUGCCCACCUCCCUCCAAGACCUCUGCCUGCCGCUGGAAGGAGGGGGGCAGUGGAAAAUCCCCCCCCCGACACCCCAAAACGAGGAUGGGUGGUGCUGGAGACACCCAAAGCCCCGUUCAGCCUCGUUCUGCACCAGCUCCAGGGUGAGCCCACCAGAAAGGGGACUCAGCUCCCAGGAGAGAGCAAGGGGGAAGCCCCGAGAACCCAGCAUUUGCUGACACAAAAGCCCUAA
Molecule: long non-coding RNA, 1173 nt
Filed under: Anas platyrhynchos (mallard)
Lineage: Eukaryota; Metazoa; Chordata; Aves; Anseriformes; Anatidae
Description: lncRNA (ENSAPLG00020008205.1)
Source: RNAcentral